UACGUAGGGUGCGAGCGUUACUCGGAAUUACUGGGCGUAAAGUGUGCGCAGGCGGCCGAGCAAGUCGAGUGUGAAAGCCCCGAGCUUAACUUGGGAAUUGCGCUCGAAACUACUUGGCUGGAGUGUGGCAGAGGAAGGUGGAAUUCCAGGUGUAGCGGUGAAAUGCGUAGAUAUCGGGAAGAACACCCGUGGCGAAGGCGGCUCUCUGGGACGGUACUGACGCUGAGACGCGAAAGCGUGGGGAGCAAACAGG
This 253-nucleotide ribosomal RNA is filed under the name uncultured bacterium. Its description in RNAcentral is "partial 16S ribosomal RNA". It matches the Rfam family "Bacterial small subunit ribosomal RNA", at positions 524 to 776 of the family's 1533-position model. The record is from RNAcentral.